CAUACUGUUAUAUAUUCUGAAAAACUCAUGCUGAACAGAUAAGACGAGAUUCAAGAUACAGUGUAAAAGGUGUUAGUUUGCAAUUUUGAUGGCUGCUCUGCACUGUAAUUCACUGUCACUGCAUUAACUCCAGACUUGCAGACCAGACUGAGUAGCAGUGAGAGGGAACUUCUUGUUAUCAAGUCCAGGAUUGACCAGCUGGAGACAGGAAUUGCAGAGAAACCAAAGGUGGCCUUUUACACAGCGUUGACUAAUACAGGAUAUGUUGGACCAUACAACACAGACACCACACUGAAAUACAGCAAGGUCUUCACCAACAUUGGCAAUGCUUACAAUCCAGCAACAGGUUUCUUCACAGCACCACUCAAUGGGGUCUACUCUUUCCAGUUCACUAUGUGUGGUCAUAAAGCAGGUUAUAUGGGUGUUUAUGUGUACAAGAACAACCAAAACAUUAUGUUUAAUUUGGAGCAUAAGAAAGAAGCAGCUUAUAGGUAUUUCACUAACUCAGUUGUUUUUAACCUGAGAGCAGGAGAUGAAAUCCACCUGGUUCUCCCAUCAGGCCAUUCUCUUUUUGACAGUGCAAAUAACCACAAUACAUUCAGUGGCUCCCUUCUCUUCCCCCUGUAAGGAUGUUGUUUAGGCUGCUGUGUGAUUGACCCCUACACACCCCUUGUAAUUGGCUACUCUGGGAUUCUUUAGAAAAUGCUGAUA
Molecule: long non-coding RNA, 711 nt
Organism: Micropterus dolomieu (smallmouth bass)
Lineage: Eukaryota; Metazoa; Chordata; Actinopteri; Centrarchiformes; Centrarchidae
Exons: 3
Source: RefSeq, a predicted model, not a curated record